AAGCGCGCGUAGGUGGUUUGUUAAGUUGGAUGUGAAAUCCCCGGGCUCAACCUGGGAACUGCAUCCAAAACUGGCAAGCUAGAGUAUGGUAGAGGGUGGUGGAAUUUCCUGUGUAGCGGUGAAAUGCGUAGAUAUAGGAAGGAACACCAGUGGCGAAGGCGACCACCUGGACUGAUACUGACACUGAGGUGCGAAAGCGUGGGGAGCAAACAGGAUUAGAUACCCUACGU
Molecule: ribosomal RNA, 230 nt
Filed under: uncultured bacterium
Lineage: Bacteria
Description: partial 16S ribosomal RNA
Rfam family: Bacterial small subunit ribosomal RNA
Source: RNAcentral